GGAACCUGUACGCUCAUCGUGGACUGAGAUACGCCGGACCUUUUUAUGUUUGAUGAGGUGACCCUGGCAAACAGUAACCGUAAGUGUUUUCAUAUGAACUGUUAUUUAUGUUUGAAGUUUUUCGUGUGUAAUAUUAAAUGGACAUCCCAACCUCAAGUGAUGUCGUGUUUAUCCUUUGCAAGAAUGCGCAAUGUCAGACUGCCGAAUGCAGGUACGUGACAAACUGAUAUUAGCAAAGUUAGACGGCAAUGGAGCAAAAAUUGACAAAGCCACUGCAACUAUUGAAAGAAUGGAAUCUACAAAGCUCGUGUUGCAACAGGAAUUUGACAGAUUGAAAAGGCAAGUGACAGAAUUGAGAAAGCAGCAGGAGGCAGCACAAGCGGACAUAGAAGUUGCUAAUAUUAAAGCUCUGAAGGCUGAAAACAUAAGCAAUACCGCAGGAAUUGCAACAUUAGAAUUUAUUAUGCCAUGGAACCGGAAGGUGAAACGAUCAGAGAGUGCCAGGAAACUGUUCUAAAACUUUUCCGUGAAAAACUGGGAGUAAAACAAAUAACAGAAAGAGACUUGGAUGCGGUCCAUCGACUAGGGAGAAGGUUACAGCAGAACCAGCCAUGACCGAUCAUUGUCCGCUUUGUGUCAAGAAAGACACGAGAAGAAAUAAUUAAGAACAGAAAGAAACUGAAGGCACAGCCAGGACAGAGUUCGGUGGUCAUUGUGGAAAACCUCACCAAAGAUAAUUACUUUCUUUAUCAGCGGGCCCGGCACACAGAAACAGGCAAGCAGUGUUGGACAAAGAUGGGCAAAAUCUUUGUGAAGACUUGCUCUGGAGUUACCAAGCAGAUCAGGAUUCUCUCUAAUCUCAACAACGACAAGCCAGAACAGAACUUCACAAUAGAGAGACAGCACCUCCAGCACCACCAGCCUGAACUGACUGACCAGAAGGAAAGAUCUAUCAGAUUACAACAAAAGGGUACGGCAAGGACUACUAAAGGUCAAGGCGAGGGCUGCACAAGGGGCGGUGUCAAAAGUCGUGUGACAUGUCUCAGAGCAGAGUGGGCAGUCAGAGUGACAUGAGUGACAGCGAAUGGAUCACUCAAGGCGAAAGUGAAGACGACGAGGCAUUCGGAUUCCAAUAAUUUAAAUGUGUAGGGUGUGUAUUUACGUUUAGAAUGUAAAUUUUUUAUCCUUUAUGCGACAAUCUUUUCACCGAAAGGAUGUACUCACCAUUUUUAUAUGACCCCACUUCACAAGCAACAGAGUGACAAGACUUGUUCAACAACCGGGACAGAAGUGUUUUCAAAAUACUCCAUACCAGGUUAUUCACAAUAAACCGUCUUAUUCAAGUGACAGAGGGAUUUGUGCAGGGCUUUUCUUGUGGAAAACCUGAUGCGGCCCAGCCUCAUCCAGACUCUGCCUCCAGUGGCCCCCGACCAAAAUGAAAACAUACGCUGUGAUUUCCGGACCUUCGUGGCAAAUGCUGCAAGAAAAACUUGUCCUCAAGCGAUGGAAGCAGAAGUGCAGACAAAGAUCUCUACCUGGUUAACUGGUGCCAGGGAUCAUGAAAAUGGAAGAAGAGAAUGGGCAGCCUUGAGCACAGACUCAUUAAAUAGUUCUGGGGUUGGGAACAUACGCUGUGAAUGAUUUUCGAAGUGACUGCGAACUUGAAACGGCCAUGGUGCCAACUUUGUGGCUAAAUCUUGCCAAUAAAACAUGCUACUGGCCUAAACAUUCCAGAGCAGUUAUAAAAUGCAUUAAACCAGAAGAAUCGUGGAGUAUGUUCCCAUUUGUGGGAAUAAAGAAUGAAUCAGGUGAGUUCUUUCAUGUGCUCAUAUUUUGUUAAAUAAUUAAUAAAUAUUUGGCACAUGUGUAACAUAUUAUGAUUAUAACUUUGCUUAUGAUAUUUUGUUUAGACAACUAUCCCAAAGCAGCAGAAAAAAUUAAGCAGCUCAUGAAUGAGGUUGCAGAUGCUGCUAGCACAUCCAAAAAUGAAGAAUGCCUGCAGUGCAGCAAGCGCAGGGUUAGACGUCACUGAACGUAUCUGUCAGCUGUUGCCAGUUCUGACCCUGUACUAUGCAGGUCUAGUGACAGAAGCAGAAUCCACAAAAUACAGAAUGCUGUUUGCAAGCAUCACCGAAGGGGCUUCCCAAAAGAAAAAAAGCACGGAUUUCAGAGCUCAUGCUUCAGCUGCGAAAACAGUCAAAGACCAAAGCUGGAGAUAAUCACGUGGUCUGAACCAAUUUCCCUACAUGAGAGGGCCAGAAAGGGUGAAGUCAUCAUACAUGGAAUUCCCCCAUUCUGCCCUGCAGCCCCCUGGAAGGCUGGCCACGAAGGAACUCAUACAAACGCUUAUGAGUGGCCUAACAAAUGAUGUCAGCAACACCAAAAAGAAGUCUAUAUGGACCACUGUCACAGAAAAAGUGUCAGCAGUGGGUGGCUUGGAAAUCCGGACUGCUCAAAAUGUUUGAGAGAAUAUCUGUGAAUAUCUAAUCCUGUCACAUACUACUUUAAUCAGAAUUCUACUUCUAAGUGAACGAACACCUCAAACACUAGUUCAAAAUAGCUGCACAUGUGAAAUACUCAGUGUUGUCCAUAGGAAUGUUAUUACCAUGGGAAACUUUGCAUGGGAUGGGACAGCACACAUUUGUAUUUCCGAUGGUAAUCGAUACUUGAUAUUGUAAAAUAAAUUUACGCUGAAAUUUGCAGUUGCGUAAGUGCAACAAAACAUAAUUCAUUCAUCAUCUGCAUGGUGCUUGAGAAGGAUUUCAAGUCUAAAGAAUAAUUUAGGCUUUCCUAGGUUUUCUCAAUUUAACGAGCGGUAACACUGCCAGACUGGCACAUUGCGCAUGUAAGAUGAAAAUUGUGGAAAUGGUUCGGGGAUUACCUGGAUUAACUGAUUUAUUAGAAACGGUCAAUGAGCAGGAAAUUGAGUGUCAGAAUGAUACCGAAUUGUCAUACUUAGAUUAUACUUUUGAGUGUUAAAGUUAAUAAAUUUUGUCGUUUUGCAUGUCUCUUUGUACAUGUAGUCCUAUUUAGUAGACACUAUACCUAAACGUUCAUAAACUUAAUGAUUUUAUUCGAACUGUAUUCCUUAUUAAUAUUAUAUAAUGGAAAUCCUGUGGGAUGGGAUAGGCAUAAAUUGCCAUAGGAUGGGAUGGGAUAGAAAAUAUGCCCCAUGGACAACCCUGGAAAUACUGUCCUAGAAGAGUAUAAGAAUUUAAUAGCCAAGUGACAAAACUAAGAACAUGUCUUUGCGAUGAUGGCCAGGUAUAGCUCUAACACUACAUGCACUGCUGAAGCCAUAUUUGCAUUAAAAAAAAAAACCAAACAUAUCUGGCAUCCAUGCUUGUAUGCAUGCAUAAUCUUGCAUACGCCUACGUCAGUGCCACCAUUGAAACAUGCAUGCACAGACACCAACAGUACAUAUAUUGCUGACAGAGACCAAGGUGAUGCACUGAAGAUUAGUCAUGAUGUGUUUAAGCAGAGUUGAGAAAGUCCAAAAGACCUCGAACACUUCUAAAAACACCACAACUGCAGUAAAAUCUGUUGGCUCAGAUUCUUACUACCAUUUUGGGAUUUGGAGUAAACUAAUAGAUGUUGUUGCAGGAUUGGAUUUGAAUUUAAGCAGUUGCCACAUGCAGCUACAUAUUAAUGUUGAUGGCGUACCACUUUGAAAAUCACCAGGAACUCAGUUUUGGCCUAUACUUGGCCGUGUUUCAGUUCCAUUUGUUACCGACCUUUUUGUUAUUGGUAUUUAUUAUGGCAAAGAAAAACCAAACAAUGUUAACGAGUAUUAUCUGAUUUUGUGAAGGAAAUGUGCAUGCUGCAAAAAGGGUCUCAUUAUCUUCCAUGAGUUCUAGAAAAAGUGACGAUAGCCAUAUAUGUGUUAUUUGUUAUACUCCGGCACGGCUUUUGUCAAGCAGGUUAAAGGUCAUACAGGCUAUUAUGGAUGUGAUAAAUGCACUCAGAAGGGUAUGUGGGAAGGUAAAACGACUUUUCCUGAAAUGAAUUCACCAUUGCACACUGAUGCUCAUUUAGAUGAGAUGGUACAGUCAUCGCAUCAUGUCGGAAAUAGUUAGCCAGUUCCCCCUUGAUUAUAUGCACCUUGUUUGUUUAGGGGUAACUAGACGACUGCUCUGGUACUGGAUACACAGCCAUAUAUCUAAAGGAUUUCGACUUGGUCAGCACAGCAUUUCUGAAAUGUGCACUUCUUGUUGUUAAAGAACAUCUACCAGAUGACUAUCGCAAAGCUGCAGAGAAAAUUAAGCAGCUUAUGAAUGGGUUUUCGGAUGUUGCGAGCACCUCCGAACAUGAAAGGGUCUGCACCAGAGGAGGGUGACUUGAAAAAAAAAUAAAAUAAAAAAAAAUAAAUAAAUCUGAUACAUAUUUUAAUAUGUACACUAGCUGCUGCUUAAUUUGAUUCAAUAAAUUUUAAAUCAAUUUUAAAACUGUAGUCAUGGUAUUGAAACUUGUGCCCGUUUGUUUUCUUCUAAAUUUUUUGUUCAAUUUUAGACACUAGUCUUUAUCCGAGUCAGAUGGAGAAGCGCUUAGUGCCAGCACUACUGAAAGGUAUCAGUUGUUCAGAAAAGUUGUUCGGUAUCUGAAAUAUUCAUCAUCCGAAACAAUUUUCCCCACAAGAAAAAAAGGAAAGAGAUUUAAUUGGUUCCCAGCCCCUGUUGACUCGCUAAUAUUUGAAAGUUACAGGCUCCAUAGGUAUUUUUCUUUUAGUGAA
This 4729-nucleotide long non-coding RNA is filed under the name Pomacea canaliculata. RNAcentral describes it as "uncharacterized LOC112553395, transcript variant X1". Lineage: Eukaryota; Metazoa; Mollusca; Gastropoda; Architaenioglossa; Ampullariidae. The record is from RNAcentral.